GAUGAACGCUAGCGGCAGGCCUAAUACAUGCAAGCCGAACGGUAACUUUUCCAGCAAUGGAGAGGCUAGAGUGGCGUAAGGGUGCGUAACACGUAUGCAAUCUACCCGCAACAGGAGUAUAGCUCCCCGAAAGGGGAAUUAACGCUCCAUAAGAUCACACGAGGGCAUCUGAGAGUGAUUAAAUCUGAGGAGGUUGCGGAUGAGCAUGCGUCUGAUUAGCUAGUUGGCGGGGUAAAGGCCCACCAAGGCGAUGAUCAGUAGGGGAACUGA
This 270-nucleotide ribosomal RNA is filed under the name uncultured bacterium. RNAcentral describes it as "partial 16S ribosomal RNA". It matches the Rfam family "Bacterial small subunit ribosomal RNA", at positions 28 to 295 of the family's 1533-position model. The record is from RNAcentral.